RNAcentral lists this long non-coding RNA (366 nucleotides) under Cavia porcellus (domestic guinea pig). RNAcentral describes it as "lncRNA (ENSCPOG00000033798.1)". Lineage: Eukaryota; Metazoa; Chordata; Mammalia; Rodentia; Caviidae. The record is from RNAcentral.
CAGUAGUUGCUAGAAUUUCCUGCUUUUUAAAAGGAUAUGGUCUCAUUUUACAGAGAGUUUACAAAGAGGAUUUUGAGAAGGAGAUUAAAGGAAGGUCCUCACUGGAUUUAGACAAGACUCCUGAAUUUUUACAUGUAAAGUACAUCACCAACCUUCUGAGGGAGUGGCUGAAAACUACCUCAUGCUCUUUCAACUCUGCUUAAACAGAAAGCAUUCCUUGAUUGUAACUGGGAUCAUAAUAAUGGCAUAAAUAUAACAAAGUAAUUAUAUGUCAAGUAGAGCAUGUAUUUAAAAGAUAGUGAAAUUCCACCUCAGGUGAAUUUUUGAACUGAAGAAAUGAUUUCUGAAAGAAGUGUCUUCAAGCAG